RNAcentral lists this ribosomal RNA (465 nucleotides) under uncultured bacterium. RNAcentral's name for it is "partial 16S ribosomal RNA". It matches the Rfam family "Bacterial small subunit ribosomal RNA", at positions 339 to 795 of the family's 1533-position model. The record is from RNAcentral.
CUACGGGUUGCUCCAGUGGGGAAUAUUGGACAAUGGGGGAAACCCUGAUCCAGCAAUGCCGCGUGUGUGAAGAAGGCCUGCGGGUUGUAAAGCACUUUCGGUUGGGAGGACUGCUUCUAGCACUAAUAUUGUUGGAAGUUGACGUUACCUUCAGAAGAAGCACCGGCUAACUCCGUGCCAGCAGCCGCGGUAAUGCGGAGGGUGCAAGGGUUAAUCGGAAUUACUGGGCGUAAAGCGCGCGUAGGCGGCUAGAUCAGUCGGGUGUGAAAGCCCCGGGCUUAACCUGGGAACUGCAUCCGAUACUGUCUAGCUUGAGUACAGGAGAGGAGAGUGGAAUUCCACAUGUAGCGGUGAAAUGCGUAGAUAUGUGGAGGAACACCAAUGGCGAAGGCAGCUCUCUGGCCUGAUACUGACGCUGAGGUGCGAAAGCGUGGGGAGCAAACAGGAUUAGAUACCCUUGUAGUC